Molecule: RNA transcript, 2223 nt
Organism: Ipomoea triloba (trilobed morning glory)
Lineage: Eukaryota; Viridiplantae; Streptophyta; Magnoliopsida; Solanales; Convolvulaceae
Gene name: U-box domain-containing protein 2-like
Exons: 3
Source: RefSeq, a predicted model, not a curated record
UUUUCACAUAGUAUGUAAUAUAUGUAAGUUUAGUUUAGGGUAACAGCCACCACAACCGGCACAGAGACGUCCAAACAGAACGCGGCUUGCGCUUUGUUGAGCCACCCUUUAUAAGCUCUGUUCAGUGAAGUUAAACAAGGAGAGGGCUGUGAAGCGUGGGAGUGAAUGGAGCUGGGCUUGCCGAGAAGGCUAUGGUGGUGUUGAACAGCCUGGCUGGGAUCGAAAUUGGCAGAAACGCCAUCGUGGAGGAAGGAGGAAUCGCAGCCCUGGUGGAGGCUAUUGAGGAUAGUUCCGAUAAGGGGGAGGAAUUUUCGGUGCUCACGCUUCUGCAAUUAUGUAUUCAUAGUGUUAGGAACCGGGGAAUGCUCGUGAGAGAAGGUGGAAUUCCUCCUCUUGUUGCCUUGUCUCAGAAUGGAACUGCUAAAGCUAAGCACAAGGCUGAAACACUUCUUGGGUACUUGAGAGAACCGAGGCAAGAAGCUUCUACGUCAACUCCUUAGAGGCUUAGAGAGAAGAAUGGGGGAGAAUUGAAGAAGAUGAAUGUGUACAAGGAAUAACAUACUAUAUAAGCAAUACUCCAUUCUGGAAGCUAAGGUUAUUUUGCUGGAAAGAUUUUGGUUACUUAACCACCUUGGACGGCUGACUGCUGUUUGGUGUUUCUGUUGUAGCAAAACAAGCUGGGUUUGUAUCCUUUUUCCAGCAUCUUUUCGACCUCCUCAAAUUGCAGUCCUUUGGUUUCAGGUACGAGGAAGAAGAUGGCCACAAGUCCAAUGAGUGAACAGCCUGCAAACAAGAGGAAUGUCCCUGAAGUGCCAAUAGCCUCUAUGAGAGUCAAGAAAGUGAGUGAGACGACGAGAUUUGAAACCCAGUUAGCUACUGCGGCUAUUCCUCCUCCAAUACCGCGGUAUCUCAAAGGGUAAAUCUCCGAAUUCACGACCCAUGGCAGUGUCCCCAUCCCAGGAGCGUAGGAUAUGAUGAACAAUCCGAGGAGCAAGACUGCAAAGAUCCCAUAUUUGCUGGGGCAGCCUUCUAUGUACCAUGAACGCCCUUCUGACUGGCACGAGUGUUUCACUUCAUCCGUCACAGAUAAACAGGCUCCUGGAUUAUACUGUUUGUGGUUUCAAGAAGCAAGAUCAGAAUCCAGAAAUGCAAAUUUGGAGAAUGAAGAUUCUGAGUUAGAAAGUUACUAGAGAGAAAAGUAACUUACUUUGCCGGCUUUGUUAGAGCAGAAGGCACAGUGUUGAGAGGUGGCAUGCUGAUGCACACACGAGUAGCAGCUCCAGGAUGAUGGUUGAUUAUUUGAUCCGGGUGUGAAUAAGAAAUUGGAGCAGGUUGAAUUGAGGCCAAAUUGUUGGGAUUGGGAGAGGCUAACUGGCGGGGAAUGUUGAGAGGCGAGAUAAAGGAGGCCAGAUAAGAGAGUCAAACAGCUUAUGAUCCCGAACAUGGAGAUUAUCAUCAGCCUCCUCCUCCCAUACCUGUCUACAAGCAGCAUACUGAUGAUUGUUCCCACAGCAUUGAGGCCUGAGGUUACGAGAGACAAUGCUAGAGCUGUGGUGUUUGAAGCAAAUCCAACCAGUUGCAGAAUGGAGGGAAUGUAAUACAUUCUGAUUCCCACCAAAUUCUGUGCAACUUGGACAGUAAUGCCUGCAUACAGACCCCUGCGGACAACUGUGUUCCUCCAUGCAUUCUUAACUUUUGAAAUCAGGUCAUCCCCAAUUGCACUUUCUUCAGACUUCUCUUCCUCCAAUGAUGACUUCAACCCACUCAUUUCUUCUUCAACUUCAUUUUUUGCCGGAUAGAUCUUUUCCAGAAUCGCCCUAGCUUCUUCCACCUUAUUCUGAUCAACCAAGCAAGCAAGCAAAGUUAGUUUAACCAUUGAAUUUACUACCUUCUCCAGGCAGGAUUCAAAAUUUUAAUGUGCCUUGGUUAUCUUUUGCGCUGUCCACCACGGAGGAAGGUGCGGCUUGCACAUUACUUCUCUAGGUACCCACUAAAGCAUAUGUUUAGUAGUAUUUAUUUUUAGCAUGCUUUCUACGCAUUUGAUGUUAAAUCAGAUUGAAUUUUUACACUUGAAGGAUUCUUGGAUGUUUUAAUGCUUUAAGAGCAUCACCAACAACUGUUUUUUGGUGAGUUCUUUUCUGACAUUAAUUUGCUGAAGUUGCACCAGCUUCCUGCGGCCGGCGUUUACUACCAUUUUUUUAAAAAAAUUAUUUUAUCUCUCUA